RNAcentral lists this ribosomal RNA (253 nucleotides) under uncultured bacterium. Its description in RNAcentral is "partial 16S ribosomal RNA". It matches the Rfam family "Bacterial small subunit ribosomal RNA", at positions 524 to 776 of the family's 1533-position model. The record is from RNAcentral.
UACGGAGGGGGCUAGCGUUGUUCGGAAUCACUGGGCGUAAAGCGCACGUAGGCGGCUUGUUAAGUCAGAGGUGAAAGCCCACGACUCAAUCGUGGAACUGCCUUUGAGACUGCUUCGCUUGAAGAUGGGAGUGGUUAGUGGAAUUCCGAGUGUAGAGGUGAAAUUCGUAGAUAUUCGGAAGAACACCAGUGGCGAAGGCGGCUAACUGGACCAUUACUGACGCUGAGGUGCGAAAGCGUGGGGAGCAAACAGG